This 642-nucleotide ribosomal RNA is filed under the name uncultured bacterium. Its description in RNAcentral is "bacterial SSU rRNA". It matches the Rfam family "Bacterial small subunit ribosomal RNA", at positions 199 to 845 of the family's 1533-position model. The record is from RNAcentral.
UAUUAAAGAAUUUCGAUAAUCGAUGGGGAUGCGUUCCAUUAGUUUGUUGGCGGGGUAACGGCCCACCAAGACGUCGAUGGAUAGGGGUUCUGAGAGGAAGGUCCCCCACAUUGGAACUGAGACACGGUCCAAACUCCUACGGGAGGCAGCAGUGAGGAAUAUUGGUCAAUGGACGAGAGUCUGAACCAGCCAAGUAGCGUGAAGGAUGACUGCCCUAUGGGUUGUAAACUUCUUUUAUAUGGGAAUAAAGUGAGCCACGUGUGGCUUUUUGUAUGUACCAUACGAAUAAGGAUCGGCUAACUCCGUGCCAGCAGCCGCGGUAAUACGGAGGAUCCGAGCGUUAUCCGGACUUAUUGGGUUUAAAGGGAGCGUAGGCGGAUUAUUAAGUCAGUUGUGAAAGUUCGCGGCUCAACCGUAAAAUUGCAGUCGAUACUGGUAGUCUUGAGUGCAGCAGAGGUAGGCGGAAUUCGUGGUGUAGCGGUGAAAUGCUUAGAUAUCACGAAGAACUCCGAUUGCGAAGGCAGCUUACUGGACUGUAACUGACGCUGAUGCUCGAAAGUGUGGGUAUCAAACAGGAUUAGAUACCCUGGUAGUCCACACAGUAAACGAUGAAUACUCGCUGUUUGCGAUAUACAGCAAGCG